GUUUUAAUAAUUUAAAAAAAAUACUGGUCUUGUAAACCAGAAAUAAGUUUACCUUUUAAAACU
Molecule: transfer RNA, 63 nt
Filed under: Prosopocoilus astacoides
Lineage: Eukaryota; Metazoa; Arthropoda; Insecta; Coleoptera; Lucanidae
Also listed under: 1 other name
Description: tRNA-Thr
Source: RNAcentral